CUCAUGCCGCUUUCACCUCCUCGCCUCCCAAGCUGCCGUCACCAUCUGCUCUCUUUCUUCUCCCCUCGGUUCUUUCUUCUCUAGCUGCUCACCCUCUCUGCCCUUCUUCCACACGAAACAAGUAGAGGGCAAGUCCUCCGAGCGAUCUCGAGCAGCUUCCAAGAACCGGACCUCCAGCUACCUAUCUCCACCUGCUUGCCAUCUCACGCAAAACAGCAAGCACGCUGGUUCCUUUUCCCAUCCACGGCAGAAGCAACUAGCAGCUCACCUCCUCUCCCCACUGAUCAGCAGCCCAAUUCUUCUCCUCCUCCAAUCGGCAACCACCAUCACCAACUGUCUCUCCGUGCCCAUCUCAAGCCAGUGCCACCAGUUCACAUGCUACGCCAGGCCAGAGAGCCAGUGCCACCUCCGCACUGGAAAGCUACUGCCUUCGGGGUCGUGGUGCCGUCUCGGGGUGGCCGGCGAGGAGCGCCACCACCACGGCAACAACGGCCUGCAUCUUCGACGCCAACCCUUCUGCGCCCUCGGCACCAAGCUGCUGCCCCUGCCUCUCUUGCACUGCGACAGGGCUGCCAUCCGCCCCGUCUACAACCUGUUCGAUGGAUUGCGCCAACAGCAGACUGAAAACUAAUGUUGCUGCGUUGGCCACGUCGUGCUCGAUGGUGAACUGCUGCUACCUCUCCGUCAAGCUGCAGCUAUGGAGCUAUCGAGUUCGAUCAGUUUUGCCCACCAUCAUUACUGUGUGGCUGUCAAUCGCAAUAUUCCGAGCAAGGACGACAGUCGCCUGCUGUAUCUUCCCCAGGCCCGUACAUCACCCAUGGCAAGUGGGCCGACUGCACCAGGCCUCCAAUUUUGGGGCCCCCAUGUGUCGACCUCCCUCUGGUAGUCUGGUGCCUGGUGGCCUCUGUAACUCUGUUCCUGCCUGCAUCUACAAUUCUGCAUGCGACCAGCGGACCACGCCUGCAUGCAACUUUUUGAUUUUUUGGCCUGAAGAAUCUGUUGCGUCAUUGACUCAUUGCGUGUUGCCGGACCAGGAGUCCAUAACCGUCCGAUAGACCGAUACUCCGAUUAGCAGGCCUGGCCUGCAGGCUGCCGUCUGCCGAUUAGGAUUCUAAAUCUAAUUGCCAGAUCGCGUGAGCACCGCUAGCCGCCGCAAUCUUGCCGAGUCGCCAUCUCGCCGAGCUGCGCGCGAACUGCGAUUCUACGAAGCUACCGCCGCAAUCAACCCUGCAUGCAGGCAGCGACUCCACCUCUGGGGCUCUGACGGCAGGUCUGACUUCUUCACAACAGAAGCUACCGCGUGAAGGCAUGAUCACGUGAUUCGCUGAGAAGGUGCAGGUGCGAAGCAACGAUCUUGCCGCUGCUCGACCCCUCCUCGAUCCACGGACCCGCCGUGCCCUGCUUGCCGCGUGCCGUGCAAGCGGACGCUCUCCUCGUCGCCGUCCAUCUCGCGCGCGUCUGGCUGAGCUCACCAUGCUCACAGCAAGUGAGGACCUCUGCAUGUUUGUCUCUUUCUUCUCUCUCUAGCUAGUCCGAUGCUACCUGCUUCCGAGAGCUGCAUGUGCCAUCUCGUGCAAGCAAGCAGUGCCAUGCGUACCUAUGUGCAUGCAGGCAAGCAAGGUUCAAUGCAUCGCGUACAAGCUAAAUACUUGUUCACGUCAUAGCUACGCAAUAAUAUAAUUAUGACUUUUCCUAUAACAAAAUGAUUAGGAUGUCUGUUGUAUAUUUCGUGCAUAAUCAAACAUCUGAAAUCUCUUCUGGUAUUCAUCAUUCUUGAUCCCUAGGAUAAUAAUUUGUUUCACUAUAUGCAAUCUUCCCUGAUGUCAUCAUCUUUUUCCCAUCAUCAUAGUUAUGCUCAUCUAUUUAUUUAAUUCCUUUCUCGAUUAUUGCUUCGUGGUGACAUCAUCCUUACGUCAUGUUCAAAUAGCUAUCCUUUUCUUCUUAAAGCCCAUAUUUUAUUCAAUUCAAUUAUGAUUUCAGCAAUUCUUGUCCUCACGUGAUCGUAGCAACGUGUAGAAUAAUUUAAAGUGCUUUACUAUUCCUCUUCCAUGAUUGGUGUACUGCUCUUAAUUGUAUUUGUUUGUUUGCUUCUAUGUUGUGCCGGUGAUUGCUUCGAGUAGAAGGAUCGCUGCUCGAA
Molecule: long non-coding RNA, 2137 nt
Organism: Setaria italica (foxtail millet)
Lineage: Eukaryota; Viridiplantae; Streptophyta; Magnoliopsida; Poales; Poaceae
Exons: 3
Source: RefSeq, a predicted model, not a curated record